AUAGACAUCUAGAGUAAACUAAGUGCUCUCUCGGCGAGCACAAAGACACGGGUGGUCCGUGCGGCGCUUUGCAACGCGCGGAGCAAUGCAGAACAAGACUCUCUCUUAUACUUCUCCUUUUCCGCUCCGUCCGUUUAGUACAAAAUCUUGCUCUCUCCUCCCAGUCUGUGUAAGAGCGUUAACAACAAAAAUGACAAACAAAAUUGGCGCUGAGCCCCCUGGCACCGAUGGUUCCAGUAAUUGUUGAGUA
Molecule: non-coding RNA, 250 nt
Organism: Caenorhabditis elegans
Lineage: Eukaryota; Metazoa; Nematoda; Chromadorea; Rhabditida; Rhabditidae
Source: Ensembl